Molecule: transfer RNA, 75 nt
Filed under: Candidatus Cloacimonadota bacterium
Lineage: Bacteria; Pseudomonadati; Candidatus Cloacimonadota
Description: tRNA-Thr
Rfam family: tRNA
About the family: Transfer RNA (tRNA) molecules are approximately 80 nucleotides in length. Their secondary structure includes four short double-helical elements and three loops (D, anti-codon, and T loops).
Source: RNAcentral
GCCAAUGUAGCUCAAUGGUAGAGCAAGUGAUUUGUAAUCACUAGGUUGGGGGUUCGAUUCCCUUCAUUGGCUCCA